This 261-nucleotide ribosomal RNA is filed under the name Serratia marcescens. RNAcentral's name for it is "partial 16S ribosomal RNA". It matches the Rfam family "Bacterial small subunit ribosomal RNA", at positions 1 to 262 of the family's 1533-position model. Lineage: Bacteria; Pseudomonadati; Pseudomonadota; Gammaproteobacteria; Enterobacterales; Yersiniaceae. The record is from RNAcentral.
UAAUUGAAGAGUUUGAUCAUGGCUCAGAUUGAACGCUGGCGGCAGGUCUUAACACAUGCAAGUCGAGCGGUAGCACAGGGAGCUUGCUCCACGGUGACGAGCGGCGGACGGGUGGUAAUGUCUGGGAAACUGCCUGAUGGAGAGGGAUAACUACUGGAAACGGUAGCUAAUACCGCAUAACGUCGCAAGACCAAAGAGGGACCUUCGGGCCUCUUGCCAUCAGAUGUGCCCAGAUGGGAUUGGCUAGUAGGUGGGGUAAUG